Molecule: long non-coding RNA, 919 nt
Filed under: Homo sapiens (human)
Lineage: Eukaryota; Metazoa; Chordata; Mammalia; Primates; Hominidae
Description: long intergenic non-protein coding RNA 1198
Source: RNAcentral
GAGAAUUCUCUCGCCUGCCUUCGGCCCUUAGGCUCCGGGAGAUUGCAAAUAACCUGCUUUCUUUCUGUUCCCAGGUGGCGUCGGACCCCUGUCAGAGAGUAAAUCUCAAGUAAGGUACCUGCCAUCGGCAGAUUUGAGCUUUCUUCUUGGACACCUAAUACCCACAGUCCUCCAGGCUCCGGUAGACUGCAAAUGACCUGCUUUCUUUCUGUUCCCGGGCUGCGUUUGGACCCCUGUCGGAUAGUAAAUCCCAAGUAAGGUACCUGCCCUCGGCAGAUUUGAGCUUUCUUCUUGGACACCUAAUACCCACAGUCCCCCAGGCUCCGGUAGACUGCAAAUGACCUGCUUUCUUUCUGUUCCCGGGCUGCGUUUGGACCCCUGUCGGACAGUAAAUCCCAAGUAAGGUACCUGCCCUCGGCAGAUUUGAGCUUUCUUCUUGGACACCUAAUACCCACAGUCCUCCAGGAUAACUUCAGGAAGUGGGUAUUAAUUCUCACGGUAUAAGUGAAGACAUUAAGCACCAGAGUUUAAGUAGCUUGAUCCACUGAAAGAGAUUCAACUGUGUGGAACCUAUGCCGUGGAGAAUUGCUUUCUGCCAUUGUUAUCGUCCAGCAGUUGCCGAAUAGCUCUGACCUGAGCAAAGCAGUGAAACGCGGUGCUGUUGAGUGGGUUGCCACUGCACCUUUUUCAACUACUCUAGUCUUGUGGAGAAAAUACCCCUUCUAAAUUUUUUCUUCAUUGAAUACUCUCCCUCAGCUCCAGAGUACCAUAUAGAGUUUUCUUGUAUUUUAGAGUUACUGUUUUAUCAAAGUUUACCAGUCUUUUGUAUUACAUUUCUCCUGUCUAAAUCGACUGUGUGGUUUCUACUCAUUAUGGAUAUAGAUUGAUACAAACUCAAUAAAUAUUUUUGAAUGAAUAA